GGGGCUGUAGCUCAGCUGGGAGAGCACCUGCUUUGCAAGCAGGGGGUCAGCGGUUCGAUCCCGCUCAGCUCCA
Non-coding RNA from Rhizobium sp., 73 nucleotides. Lineage: Bacteria; Pseudomonadati; Pseudomonadota; Alphaproteobacteria; Hyphomicrobiales; Rhizobiaceae. The record is from Rfam.